AACGUAGGGGGCGAGCGUUAUCCGGAAUCACUGGGCGUAAAGGGCGUCUAGGUGGCACGUCAAGUCUUGCGUGAAAUCUCCUGGCUCAACUAGGAGAGUGCGUGGGAAACUAGCGAGCUAGAGACGUGGAGGGGUGCACGGAAUUCCCGGUGGAGUGGUGGAAUGCGUUGAGAUCGGGAGGAACACCAGAAGCGAAGGCGGUGCACUGGCCACGGACUGACGCUGAAGCGCGACAGCGUGGGGAGCGAACGGG
This 253-nucleotide ribosomal RNA is filed under the name uncultured bacterium. Its description in RNAcentral is "partial 16S ribosomal RNA". It matches the Rfam family "Bacterial small subunit ribosomal RNA", at positions 524 to 776 of the family's 1533-position model. The record is from RNAcentral.